RNAcentral lists this non-coding RNA (149 nucleotides) under unclassified sequences. RNAcentral's name for it is "RT-16 RNA". It matches the Rfam family "RT-16 RNA", at positions 1 to 141 of the family's 158-position model. Rfam says of the family: candidate division DUSEL4 (Archaea). Nearby to self-splicing intron genes The record is from Rfam by way of RNAcentral.
CCUAGCCAUUUAAUGGCUGGGCCACAUGUCAGUUUAUUAAGACAUUAUUAAAAUUAAUUUUAAGUCAUAAAAUUCAAAAGCAAUAUUUAGUACUUAAGGAAAUCUAAAGCUUUGGUGUGCAAAUUAAUUUUUGCUUUGUACAAGCAAGA